AGAGUUUGAUCAUGGCUCAGAUUGAACGCUGGCGGCAUGCCUAAUACAUGCAAGUCGAACGGUAACAGGCUUUUCGGAGUGCUGACGAGUGGCGGACGGGUGAGUAACGCGUGGGAAUCUGCCCUGUAGCGGGGGACAACCUUAGGAAACUGAGGCUAAUACCGCAUACCUUCUACGGAAGAAAGUAGGCCACUGAAUAUGCUUACACUACAGGAUGAGCCCGCGUUGGAUUAGCUAGUUGGUAAGGUAAUGGCUUACCAAGGCUACGAUCCAUAACUGGUCUGAGAGGACGACCAGUCACACCGGGACUGAGACACGGCCCGGACUCCUACAGGAGGCAGCAGUAGGGAAUAUUGGGCAAUGGGCGCAAGCCUGACCCAGCAAUGCCGCGUGUGUGAAGAAGGCCUUAGGGUUGUAAAGCACUUUCAGGAGGGAAGAAAAGGUUAGGAAUAAUACGCCUAACUCAUGACGUUACCUCCAAAAGAAGCACCGGCUAACUCUGUGCCAGCAGCCGCGGUAAUACAGAGGGUGCGAGCGUUAAUCGGAAUUACUGGGCGUAAAGGGUGCGUAGGCGGUUAGAUAAGUUAGAUGUGAAAUCCCUGGGCUCAACCUGGGAACUGCCUCUAAAACUAUCUAACUCGAGUGCAGUAGAGGAAAGUGGAAUUUCCGGUGUAGCGGUGAAAUGCGUAGAUAUCGGAAGGAACAUC
This 707-nucleotide ribosomal RNA is filed under the name uncultured bacterium. RNAcentral's name for it is "bacterial SSU rRNA". It matches the Rfam family "Bacterial small subunit ribosomal RNA", at positions 8 to 710 of the family's 1533-position model. The record is from RNAcentral.